This 804-nucleotide long non-coding RNA is filed under the name Felis catus (domestic cat). RNAcentral's name for it is "lncRNA (ENSFCAG00000044966.2)". Lineage: Eukaryota; Metazoa; Chordata; Mammalia; Carnivora; Felidae. The record is from RNAcentral.
GGGCGUACAAGGGCCAUCUGACUCCUCAAGGGCUAAGUCCCUCUGUCGAUUUGACAUGUUUGCCUCUCCCCCAAACAAGAAGCUCUCAGGGUUAUUCUGUAAGGCAGUCAGCCCGCGCAUUGCCUAGUUUUAAUGGAAUUAAUAGCGAUGCAUUUCUAGAGGCGGAAAAAGGAGAAGGACUGACCCCGAGCACAGUCUUGUGGCUGUAAGCCUUUCUGGUACAUUCUCCAGCCCCUUCAGUUUUCCUGGACCCGAGCCUCAGCCCAGUAAUCCCCUGCAAGGCUCUCACCCACGGCCAAUUGCUGGGCUCUCACACCACACCCUUCAGCGAGGGCUCCGGCCGGGACCUAGACCAAGUUCAGCUGGUAAUUGCGCUACAAAUUGCUCGAUUGCCUUCAACCUUGCUCUUCGGUAUCUCUUUGUCAAGCUGCGCUGCCAUACGGGUCAGAUCACAGAACUUCCAUUCACCUCCAGCAAUCAAUACGGUGCCAUCCCCGCUAGGAUGGAAAGGCCUCGGCUGGAACAUGGAAAAUUCAGGAACUCUUGGUCAUCCUUUUCUGUCCUGUGGAUAUAUGUGCGGAGACCUCUACUGCAGCCAGAGAAGCAUGACUCAGUACUGUGGGGAGAAGGCACAAAACCAUGAAGGGCCUCCCAUGCGCCCUACCCGCAGAUCCAGUCCGGGCUCCAGUCCAUAGGCCUGGCGGCCUCUAUGCUCUCGGCUACCAUGAAACAGCCUAAUGACCUUCCACUAACCCCUUUUCCCCACUGACCUCCCCCCCAUGUCUUCGCUCUUCCUUUUAAGCU